Molecule: long non-coding RNA, 365 nt
Filed under: Gossypium barbadense (sea-island cotton)
Lineage: Eukaryota; Viridiplantae; Streptophyta; Magnoliopsida; Malvales; Malvaceae
Description: long non-coding RNA (GBAR_LNC013784)
Source: RNAcentral
UUUGUUCGUAGGUGGCAACUUGCUUGUGAAGGGAAUAUAGCACAUGUGGUGGUGAUGCCUAAUGUGACAAUCGAAAAACUGGAUUUCUUCUUGAAUGAAUUAGUUGAAAAACGGUCGACUUGGUAUCAAGGGAAUGUUCAACCUCCUUGUAUUGCAGCAGAGAUAGGGAAAGCGAAUUGCGUUUGUGCUCUGCACAAGUGAAAAAAUAUCAGUCUAUGAUUCAGGAAUUCCUCUAUUUUCAUGCAGCUUGUCAUUUGGUUUUAAUGAAAUAUCGAUUAGAUUCAUAAGUUUUUCGUUUUACAUUCUCAUUGUUAUGGUAAAUAGUAGUGCCUAUCGACAUGUUCAUAUGUUGACUAUCUGUCUGC